AUCCAGCUGACGAGUCCCAAAUAGGAUGAAGGGACGGGCAUCCUGUAU
Molecule: non-coding RNA, 48 nt
Organism: Schistosoma rodhaini
Lineage: Eukaryota; Metazoa; Platyhelminthes; Trematoda; Strigeidida; Schistosomatidae
Source: Rfam